Molecule: long non-coding RNA, 662 nt
Filed under: Salmo trutta (river trout)
Lineage: Eukaryota; Metazoa; Chordata; Actinopteri; Salmoniformes; Salmonidae
Description: lncRNA (ENSSTUG00000026577.1)
Source: RNAcentral
AGCAGAGCCGUGGUGACUCUCUGAACAGCACACACACACACACACACACACACACACACACACACACACACACACACACACACACACACACACAGUGGAGAGAACGGUCACACACAUAAACACAAGGAGCACACGAGACUACAGAAAAGCCUGCAUACAGAAAGCUAAGCCUCCCGUGUCUCUCUCCCUCCUCUCUCUCCCUCUCUUGCUCUCUCCUUCUCUCUGUCGGCCGUGGCAGUUACAGCUCAAUCAGGUAGAGCCAGACUCACAGGAGCACCUUCCCUUUGUCUCCCACCGUCCUCCUUCUCAAGAUUCUGUGUGUAUGUCAUGGUUACACCUGGCCAUCAGAACAUGAAAUGAUCAGCUACCUGCUGUUCUUCAGUAGAGGUAAGGAAAGACAUCUAAUGACAACUAACGAUGUUACAUAAUGACUGUGUGUGUGUGUGUGUGUGUGUGUGUGUGUGUGUGUGUGUGUGUGUGUGUGUGUGUGUGUGUGUGUGUGUGUGUGUGUGUGUGUGUGUGUGUGUGUGUGUGCCUGCUGUGGGUUCAGUAAAGGUAAGGGGAUCUAAUGAUGUCUAAUGUUAGCAGAAAGACAUGUUAUAGGUCUUUCUGCGAGUUGUACUACGGCCCAGUCUGACGGAGGAGAGAGAGGAAGAUAACAC